RNAcentral lists this long non-coding RNA (1265 nucleotides) under Anser brachyrhynchus (Pink-footed goose). RNAcentral's name for it is "lncRNA (ENSABRG00000023157.1)". Lineage: Eukaryota; Metazoa; Chordata; Aves; Anseriformes; Anatidae. The record is from RNAcentral.
AUUAUAGUGUACUGCUCUUAAGUAAUUAAAAAAAAAUCAACUCGUGGAAGUACGUUCUUACUGCAGAUGCAAAAUAAUUGGCCUUAUUUUAUCACUCCAGAUUUCAGAGAAAACCAAGUCCUGCACUGUGCCUGGAGGCCUGGCUGCAGUGCGGAAACAGUUUGAGAAAGGGCAGAUGACCUCCUCAAAGAUCACCUUUGCUCACUCCCAGCACCAGCACAAAUCUGCACAGGAGACCUCAAGAACCACUCAGCCCCCAGUAUCAAGCAGCACCAGGGAAGCUGAAUGCACUGGAAUGACUUCCAAAGAAAGCCCAGUGGAAGCCUUUCAAACACAAGAGGUAACUUUGUCAAUUAAGAAUUAUUUCAUUCAGCAGGUAUACUGAGAUGCCGAUCCUUAUCUGCUUUGCCUCUCACUCCAGCACUACUUGGUACAGCAAGAUUUUCAUGUUCUGCUGAUCGCCGCCCUCAUUUGGCAAUGCAUAACAAUGGUUUUUGAUUGGCAUCCUACACAGUGUUGUUUAAAUGUGAUAAUGAAUGGGGUUUCCCGUUCAUAGUUCUCUGUGAUGUUUUAAAGACAGUGGCAGAAAUAUGGAAUAUUCUUACAUGUUGCACUAAAUCCCACAGUAAAGUGAAAGUUUUGUGCACAGGUUUCUUGUGAGGAGCAAGUUACUUCGGAGACAAAUGGGGCUUCUACAUUGAUGCAGCACGCUGAUGAAACAGGUAAGUAAGUGACUUGAGAGUAAAGGCUCACAAAGGAGCACAACGAACCAAGUUCUUGGCAGCUGUCUUUACUCCCACAAAAGUGAGACUGCUCUUAGGAUACAGAUACUGGACAUUGCUCCAAGUUGUUCAGUGCCUCCCUCCUCAGCUAAGCACAUUCAUAGAUCUCAAUGGGACUUAAGAAAAGGUUUACAUGUUGGUACACAGAGAGGAGGUUGGGAUAAGAAGGUGGCUUCAAAUAUGUGUGGAGCUGCUGGAAAGAACUGGGCAUUUUAAGAGUUGUCUGAAAACACACGCAAACGCUUGCCCCUGUAUAGACAAAAUUGUGGAUGAUAAAGGCUCAAUUUAUAGCCAAGUGGAAUAGGCCUGGAGACCAUGAGCACGGUGUUGCGGCGCUGCUUCUGCAGUUUAGUCCUGGUAUUAGAAUUCACACGUUUGGUUAAUUCAAAGACCUCAAUGAACUCUGAGCCUGGGCUAUUCAGAUAUGGCAAAACAGCAGGCAAUGUGUCCCUCAACAAUUCUUCUGUUCUUUUUUCUAUGGAU